Molecule: ribosomal RNA, 492 nt
Filed under: uncultured bacterium
Lineage: Bacteria
Description: partial 16S ribosomal RNA
Rfam family: Bacterial small subunit ribosomal RNA
Source: RNAcentral
AGUGAACGCUGGCGGUAGGCCUAACACAUGCAAGUCGAACGGCAGCACAGUAAGGGCUUGGUCUUACGGGUGGCGAGUGGCGGACGGGUGAGGAAUACAUCGGAAUCUACUUUUUCGGGGGGGAUAAGGUAGGGAAAGUUAAGCUAAUAUCGCAUACGACCUACGGGUGAAAGCAGGGGAUAUUCGGACCUUGCGCGAAUGGAUGAGCGGAUGUCGGAUUAGCUAGUUGGGGGGGUAAAGGCCCACCAAGGCGACGAUCCGUAGCUGGUCUGGGAGGAUGAUCAGCCACAUUGGAACUGAGACACGGUCCAGACUCCUACGGGAGGCAGCAGUGGGGAAUAUUGGACAAUGGGCGCAAUCCUGACCCAGCCAUACCGCGUGGGUGAAGAAGGCCUUCGGGUUGUAAAGCCCUUUUGUUGGGAAAGAAAAGCAGCAGCUUAAUACCCCGCUGUUCUGACGGUACCCAAAGAAUAAGCACCGGCUAACUUCGUG